Molecule: ribosomal RNA, 220 nt
Filed under: uncultured marine eukaryote
Lineage: Eukaryota
Description: partial 18S ribosomal RNA
Rfam family: Eukaryotic small subunit ribosomal RNA
Source: RNAcentral
AAACCUUACUAGGGUAAGACAUCAGAAUGAUUGACAAAUUGCUUGGUUUUUCUUGAUUUGAUGGGUGGUGGUGCAUGGCCGAUCUUAGUUGGUGGGGUGACUUGUCUGGUUAAUUUCGAUAACGAACGAAAUCCGCGCCUUUUAGUUGUACUGGAUACCAAGGUUUACAGUAUUUUUAAAUGGACUGACUGCUUAAGCAGUAGGAAGUGACGGGCUAAAU